RNAcentral lists this transfer RNA (83 nucleotides) under Mrakia frigida. RNAcentral's name for it is "tRNA-Ser (GCT) (tRNA-Ser-GCT-1-1)". It matches the Rfam family "tRNA". Rfam says of the family: Transfer RNA (tRNA) molecules are approximately 80 nucleotides in length. Lineage: Eukaryota; Fungi; Basidiomycota; Tremellomycetes; Cystofilobasidiales; Mrakiaceae. The record is from RNAcentral.
ACGUGGGUAGUCAAGUGGCCUAAGACGCCUCCCUGCUAAGGAGGUCCUCUCUGAGGGCACAGGUUCGAAUCCUGUUCCACGUG